UAACAAAAAACUGACUUGUGGUCUUGCC
RNAcentral lists this non-coding RNA (28 nucleotides) under Mus musculus (house mouse). Lineage: Eukaryota; Metazoa; Chordata; Mammalia; Rodentia; Muridae. The record is from RNAcentral.